AUAUGACCUACUUAACUCAGUGGUUAGAGUAUCGCUUUCAUAAGGCGAGAGUCAUUGGUUCAAAUCCAAUAGU
RNAcentral lists this transfer RNA (73 nucleotides) under Ephedra przewalskii. Its description in RNAcentral is "tRNA-Met". It matches the Rfam family "tRNA". Rfam says of the family: Transfer RNA (tRNA) molecules are approximately 80 nucleotides in length. Their secondary structure includes four short double-helical elements and three loops (D, anti-codon, and T loops). The record is from RNAcentral. Lineage: Eukaryota; Viridiplantae; Streptophyta; Gnetopsida; Ephedrales; Ephedraceae.